Long non-coding RNA from Peromyscus leucopus (white-footed mouse), 406 nucleotides. RefSeq lists it as uncharacterized. The transcript has 4 exons. The record is from RefSeq and is a predicted model, not a curated record. Lineage: Eukaryota; Metazoa; Chordata; Mammalia; Rodentia; Cricetidae.
UGCAGGGUCCUUCCGGCUGCCAGCUUCAGAAGCAGGCGCCAGUGGUUUUGUGUACGGUGCUGUGACAGCUGCUGCCGGGAGCUUUGCAGAGAGCAUGGGCGAGCUGGAAAACCAUGGCAUGUAUCAUACUUUGUACAUAUGUAUGGGAUAUUUUAGAAUGGAGUGACCUAUAAUGAUGUGCAUAUCGACUUCACUUGGAAGAGUGGACUUUGCUGGAUCUUUCCCAGAAGAAUCUCUACAAAGAUGUGAUGCUGGAGACCUAUUGGAACCUUCUUACUAUAGGAUACAGUUGGGAAGACCAUAAUAUUGAAGAACAUUGUCAAAGUUCUAGAAGAUAUGAAAGGCAUGAAAGAAGUCAAGCUGGAGAGAAACCUUCAAUAUAUACUCAAUGUAUUAAGGCUUUUGA